Molecule: transfer RNA, 72 nt
Filed under: Bacteroidota bacterium
Lineage: Bacteria; Pseudomonadati; Bacteroidota
Also listed under: 2 other names
Description: Bacteroidetes bacterium tRNA-Arg
Rfam family: tRNA
About the family: Transfer RNA (tRNA) molecules are approximately 80 nucleotides in length. Their secondary structure includes four short double-helical elements and three loops (D, anti-codon, and T loops).
Source: RNAcentral
GGCCCCGUAGUCUAAUGGAUAGAAUUAAGGAUUCCGGUUCCUUCGGUCCGGGUUCGAAUCCCGGCGGGGUCA